This 529-nucleotide ribosomal RNA is filed under the name uncultured bacterium. RNAcentral's name for it is "bacterial SSU rRNA". It matches the Rfam family "Bacterial small subunit ribosomal RNA", at positions 987 to 1525 of the family's 1533-position model. The record is from RNAcentral.
UGCAGAGGAAAGAUCCAGAGAUGGUGAUGCCCUUCGGGGUCUCUGUGAAGGUGCUGCAUGGUUGUCGUCAGCUCGUGCCGUGAGGUGUCGGCUUAAGUGCCAUAACGAGCGCAACCCCUUUCCCUAGUUGCCAUCGGUUUUGGCCGGGCACUCUGGGGACACUGCCUCCGCAAGGAGUGAGGAAGGUGGGGAUGACGUCAAAUCAGCACGGCCCUUACGUCCGGGGCUACACACGUGUUACAAUGGGUGAUACAGAGGGCCGGCCGCUGGCAACAUCGGUCCAAUCCUUAAAGUCAUCCUCAGUUCGGACUGGGGUCUGCAACCCGACCCCACGAAGCUGGAUUCGCUAGUAAUCGCGCAUCAGCCAUGGCGCGGUGAAUACGUUCCCGGGCCUUGUACACACCGCCCGUCAAGCCAUGAAAGCCGGGGGCGCCUGAAGUCCGUGACCGCGAGGGUCGGCCUAGGGUGAAACCGGUGAUUGGGGCUAAGUCGUAACAAGGUAGCCGUACCGGAAGGUGCGGCUGGAUCA